CGGUAAGGUGAUAUGAACCGUUAUAACCGGCGAUGUCCGAAUGGGGAAACCCAGUGUGACUCGUCACACUAUCAUUAACUGAAUCCAUAGGUUAAUGAGGCGAACCGGGGGAACUGAAACAUCUAAGUACCCCGAGGAAAAGAAAUCAACCGAGAUUCCCCCAGUAGCGGCGAGCGAACGGGGAGGAGCCCAGAGCCUGAAUCAGCAUGUGUGUUAGUGGAAGCGUCUGGAAAGGCGCGCGAUACAGGGUGACAGCCCCGUACACAAAAGCGCAUGUGCUGUGAGCUCGAUGAGUAGGGCGGGACACGUGGUAUCCUGUCUGAAUAUGGGGGGACCAUCCUCCAAGGCUAAAUACUCCUGACUGACCGAUAGUGAACCAGUACCGUGAGGGAAAGGCGAAAAGAACCCCGGCGAGGGGAGUGAAACAGAACCUGAAACCGUGUACGUACAAGCAGUGGGAGCCCCACCACCAAAGCGUUUCGCUUUGCGUGGUGCGCAAAAUGCGUAACGACAGCACGAUUGCGGUUAACGGAGCGUAAGCGACGUUCAACACAAGAAUCAGGCAGUGGAGCGUUUUGGGGUGGGGUGACUGCGUACCUUUUGUAUAAUGGGUCAGCGACUUA
Molecule: ribosomal RNA, 623 nt
Filed under: Salmonella enterica subsp. arizonae serovar 18:z4,z23:- str. CVM N4410
Lineage: Bacteria; Pseudomonadati; Pseudomonadota; Gammaproteobacteria; Enterobacterales; Enterobacteriaceae
Description: bacterial LSU rRNA
Rfam family: Bacterial large subunit ribosomal RNA
Source: RNAcentral